CUUCAGCCUAAAAAAAUUGUAUUAUAGAACCUCCAGAAAAUACAAAUAGAAUAAAAUAACCAAAAUAAAAUGUUCUACGCUACAAAAUUUGAUCCAUUUUAUGUUGGAGCUUGUCCCCCUGGACCCAUGAUAUUUCGACCAUUUCGAUCGGGCUGUUGGCCCCACGGUCGUCUUGUUCCUGCAUGUAGUUCUCGUUGUAGUCCCUGUGGUUCUUGUUGUGCUCCCUGCGGGCCUUACGGAGGCGGUUGUUGCAGUACUUCGCCCUGUGGGUGGUAAGCUAUUGACGAAUACUAUGGAGAGCCUUGAUUCUCCGAUCUGAGGGUUCGCCAUGGUGCGAUUAAUCUGAUUUUUAAUAUUGACACUCGCCAAAAUCAUGGUUGAAGAUAAAUGUGAAUACAAAUUUUUUUCUUUAUAAAUUUUUAAUAAAUUCAAGAUGUGCAAAUUGUGGAAAAAAUA
This is a long non-coding RNA of Drosophila innubila, 456 nucleotides long. RefSeq lists it as uncharacterized. The transcript has 2 exons. NCBI's taxonomy places the organism in Eukaryota, Metazoa, Arthropoda, Insecta, Diptera, Drosophilidae. The record is from RefSeq and is a predicted model, not a curated record.